CCUGGCUCAGGACGAACGCUGGCGGCGUGCUUAACACAUGCAAGUCGAACGGUGACGAGGAGCUUGCUCCUCCGAUCAGUGGCGAACGGGUGAGUAACACGUGAGUAACCUGCCCCAGACUCUGGGAUAACAGUUGGAAACAGCUGCUAAUACCGGAUACGAGACGGAGAGGCAUCUCUACCGUCUGGAAAGUUUUUCGGUCUGGGAUGGACUCGCGGCCUAUCAGCUUGUUGGUGAGGUAAUGGCUCACCAAGGCGACGACGGGUAGCCGGCCUGAGAGGGCGACCGGCCACACUGGGACUGAGACACGGCCCAGACUCCUACGGGAGGCAGCAGUGGGGAAUAUUGCACAAUGGGCGAAAGCCUGAUGCAGCGACGCCGCGUGAGGGAUGACGGCCUCGGUUGUAACUACUUCUAGCAGGAGAAG
Molecule: ribosomal RNA, 427 nt
Filed under: uncultured bacterium
Lineage: Bacteria
Description: bacterial SSU rRNA
Rfam family: Bacterial small subunit ribosomal RNA
Source: RNAcentral